AAUUGUCACAUGUAACACUCCCAUUGGUAGUUUUUUUCCCCUUCAAUUCUUCCCCUCUUCUUCCUCCUCCCCUGCUCUUCCUUUCCGAUUGACCACCACUGCCAGUAGCUCACACACAAGCUCCAGCGGUGGCAGCCUGACCUUGAGCUUCUUCUCUAUGGCUCGGCCUCGUCCAUCGUCAUCGAUUACCUUCCUCCCGACUUCUCCUUCCCUCUAUCUCUCUUGACACCCGCGGCCCAUUCCUUCCUCCACAACCUUCUCCAUCCCCUCCACAACUUUCCAUAUUUCAUCCACAUCCUCCUACAUUUGUUUCCUUACAUCACACCAUCACUCCACCAACUUCCUCUUUCCUCUGUCAUCCCUUCAGCCGCCUCCUUCCCUCCUCACUGCCUUCCCCAGCUUACGACCUCUACCUCAGCCUCCUUCCCUCCUCACUGGAUGUAAAGCAAUAAGGUUGCCUAAUUUAUCAAACCUGCAGAGGUUAAAGAGCGCUAGAAGUGCAAGGUUAUGAAAAUCUUCUGGAGAUUUCGGGCCUCGAGGAACUGAAGUCCCUGAGAACAUUGAAUGUUUCGGACUGUCCAUGGCUUCAGAACAUUCCGAGUCUUCCAAAUGUAACAGUAACACGUUGAAUGAGAAAGAUCAGUCACUUGAUGAGAGGGAUGGGUGAGGAGGAGACAGUUUUAAUGCAGAUGCUGCCAUGCAUUACCGACUAGAUUCACAUUUGUCGGAUGAUUGGUGAAAGAGAUUGUGUAAGAAUGGGAAGUUUUGGACAUUGCAAAUCACAGAAUGCCGUUCUUCCUGGCCUUGUUGGACUCGCCAUUCUAGCCGGUGUGUUGUUGUACCACUUACCGCGGUACCUUCUCAAGCUCCCUGAGUUCCAUUGCUGCUGCCCAACUUGUUCCCUACUGAGUUGUCGCUGCUCCUCAUGCCCUGACGAACCCCAGCCUCCCUUGUCCUCUGACUCAGCAAUAGAAGUUCAUCCAUGAGGAAGAACACGGAAGAGGAAGAAGAAUAGUGGAAGAGGAAGAGAAAAAGAAAAAUGGCCCCGCCACUAGGUUUUUCAUGGCCAUACACAUGGCACGUCCAAUGGGAGUGUUACACGUGUCAAUUAACGGCCACCUAGUCAAAAUUAACGGCAAAGGAUGGACGGAAGGGUAAGGGCGUGCUAGAUGUGAGACAAUUUUGAAACGUUGUGCUCUUUUAGAAAAAAUUUAAAGCACGUGCUAAAUUAGGGAACUUGUCAAUUGUAUGUGCUUUUUUAGGUUAUUUACUAUUUUUUAAUUAUAUGAAUCUAUUAAUUCUUUCUCAUCACAUUAUUAUAAAAUAAAAUUAUUUAAAAUUUUUCCC
This is a non-coding RNA of Punica granatum (pomegranate), 1347 nucleotides long. Lineage: Eukaryota; Viridiplantae; Streptophyta; Magnoliopsida; Myrtales; Lythraceae. The record is from RefSeq and is a predicted model, not a curated record.